Non-coding RNA from Massospora cicadina, 78 nucleotides. The record is from the annotation of a GenBank genome assembly. NCBI's taxonomy places the organism in Eukaryota, Fungi, Entomophthoromycota, Entomophthoromycetes, Entomophthorales, Entomophthoraceae.
ACUGGGGGUGGAAGGCGAGUCAGUAAGGGCGUAAAGCUACCAACCUGAAGGUUGUGGGUUCAAUUCCCACCCUUUGUA